CGCCUGCGCUCUGGGACGCCCCCGCCUCCCACACAGACUACCCAGCUGUAGGGCCCUCGAGCCGCCAGAUAUUUCAACAACUUAGAAGUUGUUUUACGCGGCCUGUGAUAACGGUAUCCGAUGCAGAGUAUGGUUGUAAAGAGAAAAUGAAUUUAACACCUGGAAUAGUGCCUGGCACACAGAAGAACCUGCACAGUGCCUGGCACAGAAUCUUCAUAAAUAUGGGCUGGAGGAUGAUGGAAUGUCAUGCUUUGGAGAGGGCCAGAAGGAAGGUUCCAGUACCACCUCCUGCCCUUCCCCCACACGUUUCCUGGGGUUUUGAGAGGAACCCUGAGCCAAAGCUCUUAGGGCAUCCAGUUCCAAAGAAGUUUCAGGAGGCAAUCCAUGGGGCUAGGGAAUAAAAUAAACUGUAUUUUAUUUUAUUGAUAUAUUUUUGUUUGCAAAAUCUCAACGUUCAAACCACACAAUAAAUGGGUUGACAGCGGUACAUGUACAUGAUUUAUAAUUAUACAAAUAUAUGGGAGGGAUACAUCUUUUUUUUUUUUUAAGAUUUUAUUUAUUUAUUUGACAGAGAGAGACACAGCAAGAGAGGGAACACAAGCAGAGAGAGAGGGAGAAGCAGGCUUCCCACCAAUCAGGGAGCCUGAUGUGGAGCUCAAUCCCAAGACCCUGG
This 673-nucleotide long non-coding RNA is filed under the name Mustela putorius furo (domestic ferret). RNAcentral's name for it is "lncRNA (ENSMPUG00000026075.1)". Lineage: Eukaryota; Metazoa; Chordata; Mammalia; Carnivora; Mustelidae. The record is from RNAcentral.